GUGACAGAUAUCAAACAAUGUUUCUAUACAAGGGAAUAUUUUUUGUAUAGGCAAGUAUAUAAAGAAACUAUUAGGAAUAUCUUGUUAUGUAUUAAAGAGAGUUUUUUAAUUUGUGUAUUUCAUUAAAAAUGUAGCACAUGUACUCUUAGAGAAAUUCAAUAAUAAACGAAGUGAAUUGAAAUAUCUUAGUAACUUCAGGAAAAGAAAUCAAACGAGAUUCUAUGAUUAGUGUGAAUGAAAAUAGAACAGCCUAUAAAAAUCAGAAAAUAUAUAUUUAUAUAUUUUUUACUUAAAUAAAUAAGUAAAACGGGCAAUAACCUGUUUGAAUAUAAGGGGAACCUUCCUCUAAGGCUAAAUAUAAUACAUAAGCGAUAGCGUAAAGUACUGUGAAGGAAAGGUUGAAAUAGUAGUUUUAUAAGCAGCUCAAGUUUAAAUAAAUAAUACGAGCGUACCUUUUGCAUAUUGCGACAAUGAAGUUGCUGUUAACAAUGGAGUGUGAUACUCUCAAGAUUGCUCUAUCUUGAUCCUAUCUAGACAUGCGCCUGAAGUAAUUUAGGGGUGUGAAGCUCUAGAGAGAAUGGCGAAAGCUUAGGAUAAAUGUAGACUAUGGUAAGCGUAAGCGAAGAUAUGGUUGAGGUUUCGUAAAAAGUGUCUAUGUAUGUAGCAUGGGAUUAGGAAUGAAACGACUAUGCAGGGAAGUCAGAGCCAUAAUAUCCACGGAAUAUAGUAUCUACCUAAGGUCUAAUAUAAAUUUGUGUUAACAGCGGAACAUGGUAAGCCCAAUAGCUACUGUAAUUUAUUACAGAGGCCUGAUAUAUCGAAAAAAAUAUAGAGGUUGUGACUCUGCGGAAAUGAUGGUAUCGGCUAGUGGGUAUGAGAGAGGCUAAAAAGCGAACGCCUUAUUGUAAUGAUAGGGAUAGAGCCAUAUGGCUUAUGUUGAAAGACAGCAGACUUAGUCAUCAGUGUCCUGACUUGAUUAUAAAUAGUUCCAGUUUAAAAUUUUUCUUCCACCUUUGUCUAAAUAAGAUCACACUGUCAUAUAAGGACAAAAAAAAAAAAAAUCUGCUAUCAUAGUUGAUGCCCCACGGAAAAAAACCUGGAAAAAGUUAAUAAUAUUAAGAAGGUGAUUUCGUAAGAAGUCCCAGUAAUUAGUAGCGACGACUCUCGGGUACAAGGGGAUAGCGAAAAUACUGACAGGAGGCUCAAAGGCUCGUGAGGGCCGGACCUACCCGGUAUGGGUCAGCAAGUUAAUAUUAGAUGCGAGCAGUAAUGCCUAGAUAAACCAAUUAUGAAAUAAUGAAUUAGUAUCUAAAAUUAGACCCGAAGCCUAGUGAUCUUACCAUGGUCAGGGUUAUAAAAGCCCGAACGGUUUAUCGUUGUAAAGAUAUCCGAUGAACUGUGGUAAGUUAGUGAAAGACAAAACUGACUAGGAUAGCUGGUUUUCUGCGAAACCUAUAUAAGUAGGUAAUUCAAGUUACAUCAUAGCAGGUACAGAACUGUGAUCUCAGGCAACUUAUAAUUUUUUAUCUAGCCAUUGCUUAGAUAAGAAAUAAUUUUGCAUAUAUCGGGGAAUCGUGAGGAUUUUAUCGGUGAGUAUUCGCACUCGGAAGGGCAAUGAUGAAUAUUAAAAUGUAUUGAAUAAUCGGACAUAGUACGAUAAGGUUGUAUGUCUAAAGGGAAACAGCCCAGAACAAGAGUUAAGGUUCCAAAAUUAUUGUUAAGUGAAACUAAGGAAGUUUCUAUCUAAUACAACUAGGAAAUAGGCUUAGAAGCGGCUAUUUUUUGAAGACCUCGUAACAGAGCACUGGUUUAGUAAACAAAACUUUACAUUGAUAGUUGCACCGAAAAUUUAACGGAUCUAAACAAUAUACCGACACCUUGUCCAUAUUGUUAAAGAUGAUUUAUAAUUUAACUAUGGGGUAGCAGAACGUUGGGUAAAUCUAAGACAUAUUCUUUUUAAGAGUAUAUAAUUAAUUUAGGCACGCCUAAAUUAGUAGGUAACCCAAGUGAGAAUGCUGACAUGAGUAACGAAAAAGGGUCCCGUAAUUUGGGGAAUAUCUAACAAAAGAUAUUAUAGCCCUCGCCUAAAGCUUAUGGAUUUAUUAAAGUAACGGCCUCUAAGUUUAUUAACCUAAAGGAUUAAACGAUGAGUAAACCUUACCUACAAAGUAACAACAUCUUCUUGUUUUGUAAUAAAAUUUAUACUCGCCCCUGAGGUGAGAGUGAUAAUAUUUAUACUUUGUAAGAAAAGUGAAGAAGGUUCUGGAAAAACUUGUAACAAGUAAUGUUUAUUUUAUUACUUUAAAUAUACUAAAAUAUAUGAAAAUUGAUGAAAUAAGGCUAAAUAAACCGUACCUAAAUACUACCACAAGUAAGCAAGUAGAGAAUACGAAGGCGUUUGAGUGAACAAUCAUUAAGGAACUCGGCAAACUAACUACCGUAACUUCGGGAUAAGGAGAGCCAUUCUUACUUAUUAAUAUAAGGUAAAGAAUAGGAAGCAUGGAAUAGUGUUGUACGACUGUUUAAUUAAAACAAAGCACUUUGCAAUAAGAUAAUAAAUCAAAGUAUUGAGUGUGAUUUCUGCCCAAUGUCGGCUGGUUAACGAAUUUUCUAGGUUGACUAAUAUAAGUUUGGAUUUGAAGGAAACCCCGAUCAAUGGCGGCCUUACCUAUGAGGGUCCUAAGGUAGCGGAAUACCCUGGCCGUUAAAUGCGGUCUUGCAUGAAUGAUUUAACGAUACAACAGCUGUCUCAAUGAUUGGCUCAGUGAAAUUGGAAUAACUGUGCAGAUACAGUUUACCUCUAGAUAGACGAGAAGACCCUAUGCAGCUUUACUGUUGCUAGUUAUUGAAUAUGAUUGAACUAAUAUUAGUGUAUAAGGUAGUUGGAGGCAAUUUUUUAAACCUCGUUUAGACAAAAUUGAAACACCUUUAUUUUGUUUAUCAUAUUCGUAGGCUAUAGAGUCUGCGUUAUAAUAUAAGGUAUGUUGAUGUUAUGUUAUGUAAUGUUAUGUUAUUAAGUAUUAUAAUUAACCCAUCAAAUGGGAACAAUGGCUAGGAGGCAGUUUAUGCGGGGCACAGAUCCCAUAAAAAGUACCUGGGUGUAUCCAAAGUUAAUUUUGUAAAAUUGUCAUGACUUACUUAUGACAAUUAAAUAUACAAAUUGUAUAUUUUUAUUUUUAGUUUGUUAUUGGUUUAGCUUAGGCUAUAACUAAUCCAACUAUAUAUCUAUUAAGUUAGAAUUAUUAAUUUAAUUUAAGUAAGAUUUUAACUAUAUGGAAAAUAGAUGUAAUUAAAACAUUAAUUUGAAAAUACUUUUCUAAUGUUUUUAGUUAUAUAAUUAGUUUAAAUUACACUUUUUAUAUAAUUAUGUUUAUUACUUGUCAAGUUUAAUGGCUUAAUCUUGCUUUACUGUUUGACUUACACGUCUAUCAGUCGCGUAAGCGGGGCAUAUGAUCACAAGAUGCAGAAAGGAAAGGUCUUGGAUUUUUGAAAAAGCUACGCUAGGGAUGUUAGUCCUCCAUUGUUUUAUUUCUAAAAAUUUUAGCGAAUAAAUCUAUUGGUUAAUUAACAAAAAAAAAAAUUUUUUUUUGUGGGAUUUUUACAAUUUCGCGUUGCAGUUAAUAAAUAUACAGAAAAUAAAUAAAUAUGAAGAAAUAGUCUGAACCAUUUUGUAAAAAAUGGAUAUAAAGAAGUAAAUAAAUUUCUUUUAUUAACAAAAAUUGAACAGGCUAAUUGCGCCAGAGAGUACAAAUUGAGUGCGCAGUUUGGCACCUCGAUGUCGGCUUAACUUAUCCACAUGAAUGCAGGAAUCAUGAAGGGUUCGACUGUUCGUCGAUUAAAAAGUUACACGAGCUGGGUUAAAUACGUCGUGAGACAGUAUGGUUUCUAUCUUCUAGAGGAAAUUAGAAUAAAAUAAGGAUAGCCCCCUCGUACGAAAGGAGCUGGGUAUAUUAACCUCUGGUUUACCUGUUGUUUAUGUGCCCUAUAAUUGCCCAACAAACUAACAUAGAUGAGCGAAUAGGGAUGUUACUUUCACUUAAGUAAAUAUUUUGUAUCAUAGCAUAGGCACGGCAGGAACGCUAAGUUAGUUAGAGAUAAGUGCUGAAUGCAUCUAGGCACGAAACUUACCUUAAGAUAUUCUUAAAUAUACGUAGUUGAACACUACGAUUUUGUAGUUAAUAUUAAUUUUAUAUUUUAUUAUUUUUAAUUAGUAUUAAGUGCAAUUAAUAGGCUUUAGCUGAAAGAA
RNAcentral lists this ribosomal RNA (4246 nucleotides) under Ciborinia camelliae. Lineage: Eukaryota; Fungi; Ascomycota; Leotiomycetes; Helotiales; Sclerotiniaceae. The record is from RNAcentral.